This 200-nucleotide ribosomal RNA is filed under the name uncultured bacterium. RNAcentral describes it as "partial 16S ribosomal RNA". It matches the Rfam family "Bacterial small subunit ribosomal RNA", at positions 8 to 210 of the family's 1533-position model. The record is from RNAcentral.
AGAGUUUGAUCAUGGCUCAGGACGAACGCUGGCGGCGUGCUUAACACAUGCAAGUCGAGCGGAAAGGCCCUUCGGGGUACUCGAGCGGCGAACGGGUGAGUAACACGUGAGUAACCUGCCCCUAGCUCUGGGAUAGCUCCGGGAAACCGGGAUUAAUACCAGAUAUGACCACGAUAGACAUCUGCUGUGGUGGAAAGAAU